This 453-nucleotide ribosomal RNA is filed under the name Sadayoshia inermis. RNAcentral describes it as "partial 16S ribosomal RNA". The stretch from base 327 to 453 matches the Rfam family "Bacterial large subunit ribosomal RNA", at positions 2473 to 2600 of the family's 2925-position model. The record is from RNAcentral. Lineage: Eukaryota; Metazoa; Arthropoda; Malacostraca; Decapoda; Munididae.
UAACUGUGCAAAGGUAGCAUAAUCAGUAGUUUUUUAAUUGAAGGCUUGUAUGAAGGGUUGGACAAAGAAUAAUCUGUUUCUGUUUUUAUUUUUGAACUUUACUUUUAAGUGAAAAGGCUUAAGUGUGUUUAAGGGACGAUAAGACCCUAUAAAUCUUUAUAUUAAAUUAUUUUUUAACAAUUAAUAUAGUAAAUAAAAUAAUAAAAUAAAAAAUAUUUUGUUGGGGUGAUGAAAAUAUAAAAUUAACUGUUUUAAAAUUAAAACAAAGUUGUUUGAAAAAAAAUAAUUGAUCCUUUGUUAAGAUUAAAAUUUUAAGUUACUUUAGGGAUAACAGCGUUAUUUUUUUUGAGAGUUCUUAUCGAAAAAAAAGUUUGCGACCUCGAUGUUGAAUUAAAAUUUCUUUAUGGUGCAGAAGUCAUAAGAGAGAGUCUGUUCGACUUUUAAAAUUUUACG